AAAAGCUCGUAGUUGGAUCUCAGUACCCGGGCGGGUGGUCCGACGCAAGUCGGCUACUGCCCGUCCGGUACGUCCGGCCGGUUUCCCCGGAUGAUCUUCACCGGUUGUCCUGGGUGACCGGCAAGUUUACUUUGAAAAAAUUAGAGUGCUCAAAGCAGGCGCGACGCCUGAAUAAUGUUGCAUGGAAUAAUGGAAUAGGACCUCGGUUCUAUUUUGUUGGUUUUCGGAACACGAGGUAAUGAUUAAGAGGGACAGACGGGGGCAUUCGUAUUGCGACGCUAGAGGUGAAAUUCUUGGACCGCCGCACGACGAACUACUGCGAAAGCAUUUGCCAAGAAUGUUUCCAUUAAUCAAGAACGAAAGUCAGAGGUUCGAAGGCGAUCAGAUACCGCCCUAGUUCUGACCAUAAACGAUGCCAGCCAGCGAUCCGGCUGCGUUCCUCAAAUGACGCGCCGGGCAGCUUCCGGGAAACCAAAGCUUUUGGGUUCCGGGGGGAGUAUGGUUGCAAAGCUGAAACUUAAAGGAAUUGACGGAAGCGCACACAAGAAAUGGGGCCUGCGGCUUAAUUUGACUCAACACGGUGCAACUCACCCGGCCCGGACACAGGAAGGAUUGACAGAUUAAGAGCUCUUUCUUGAUUCUGUGACAGGUGGUGCAUGGCCGUUUCUAGUUGGUGGAGUGAUUUGUCUGCUUUAUUGCGAUAACGAGCGAGACUCUAGCCUACUAAAUAGACCGUCUAUCAUUUACCGUAGACGGGUCUUCUUAGAGGGACAAGCGGUGUUCAGCCGCACGAAACUGAGCAAAAACAGGUCAGGAUGCCCUUAGAUGUUCGGGGCCGCACGCGCGCCACAUUGAAGGAAUCAGCGUGUGCUUUCCCUCUCCGAUAGGAGUGGGUAACCCGUUGAAACUCCUUCGUGCUAGGGAUAGGAAAUUGUAAUUGUUUUCCUUGAACGAGGAAUUCCCAGUAAGCAUUGAGUCAUCAGCUCGUGUUGAUUACGUCCCUGCGCUUUGUGCACACCGCCCGUCGCUAUUAUCGAUGAAUUUUGGAGUGAGAUCAUCGGACCGACUAGGAUUCUGUAGGUAACUAUGGAGUCUGUGUUGGAAAGAUGACCGAACUUGAAUAUUUAGAGAAAAUAAAAGUCGUAACAAGGCUUCC
Molecule: ribosomal RNA, 1156 nt
Filed under: Tetragnatha versicolor
Lineage: Eukaryota; Metazoa; Arthropoda; Arachnida; Araneae; Tetragnathidae
Description: SSU rRNA
Rfam family: Eukaryotic small subunit ribosomal RNA
Source: RNAcentral